UACAGAGGGGGCAAGCGUUAUUCGGAAUUAUUGGGCGUAAAGCGCGCGCAGGCGGUCUUCCAAGUCAGUGGUGAAAGCCCGGAGCUCAACUCCGGAACUGCCAUUGAAACUGUUAGACUUGAGGACGAGAGAGGUGAGUGGAAUUCCCAGUGUAGAGGUGAAAUUCGUAGAUAUUGGGAAGAACACCGGUGGCGAAGGCGGCUCACUGGCUCGUUUCUGACGCUCAGGCGCGACAGCGUGGGGAUCGAAACAGG
This 254-nucleotide ribosomal RNA is filed under the name uncultured bacterium. RNAcentral describes it as "partial 16S ribosomal RNA". It matches the Rfam family "Bacterial small subunit ribosomal RNA", at positions 524 to 776 of the family's 1533-position model. The record is from RNAcentral.